UCUCCAUUCCUAUUGGUCAAAAAUCAUGACCAAUAAGCUUUGAGGAGGCUGCCCGAGGCCAUAUUAGAGAUUAGGGUUAGUUUUUUGGGACCAAUUGAGCUUUGAAGGCUAGGUUCAGCAAUUUUAGGUUUUUGGCUAUGGUUUUGGUACAAAUCUUGUAUGAUUUGGAGUUUGUAUGAAGGAGAUAUAUGCGCUCAAAGUUAAGGUGUUGAUUUGAGAGCUACUGUCACUAUUUUUGACAUAACGCACGCAUAUAGAGGGCAAUUGAGGAUCGGCAAUUGCGACUAGAGAGAGCACUUUUGUUGCUAUAUUUUUUACAUACCGCUUACUGGAUUCCAAGUGAAAGUGAAGGAGUUAUUGAAUUUUGAAGUCAGCACA
RNAcentral lists this long non-coding RNA (378 nucleotides) under Physcomitrium patens. RNAcentral describes it as "long non-coding RNA (PPAT_LNC013285)". Lineage: Eukaryota; Viridiplantae; Streptophyta; Bryopsida; Funariales; Funariaceae. The record is from RNAcentral.